Long non-coding RNA from Corvus hawaiiensis (hawaiian crow), 549 nucleotides. RefSeq lists it as uncharacterized. Lineage: Eukaryota; Metazoa; Chordata; Aves; Passeriformes; Corvidae. The transcript is spliced from 4 exons. The record is from RefSeq and is a predicted model, not a curated record.
GUAAAGAGACUACAACAACUGAGUCUGCUUGAAGACUUUACAACUGAGUCUGCUUGAAGUUGCUAUUCAGCAUCGGCCUCUAGAAGCCAAGCAGGACGGGGCUAUGCCCAUCCCUACAGAACAGCUUGCCAGGUAUUAUAGUUUUGCCCCAUGAAAUCAGCCUGUUUUCUUUAGAGAAGAAUGAAGAAGGAAAUCCUCAAAUACAUGGAUAUAAUUGUCUUCAUUAAAAGCUGGCUGAAAAGACUUUAUCCUGUGGGAUCUACUCUCUGUCUCUCUGAGAUUUGAUUGCAAGCUGCACAGGAGUGGGGAAAUCAGCAGCUGACCAAUACCCUGCACAGACAGGAUCUUUGCCAGACAUCCUGGGGAUGUUCUCAGAAGAGAUCAGGGCAGUAAAGUGAGAGUGGAGGCAGCCAUGAGUGUCUGCAGCCUUCCAGUGUCUGCACAGAAGUGCACAGGAGCCAGGAAAGUUAAGGCAGUUGUAAGCAAGUUCUCCUAGCCACUAUGAUGAUACCAACGAUCAUAUAAAUCAGCCAGCUCACUCAUUGAUGC